This 492-nucleotide ribosomal RNA is filed under the name uncultured bacterium. RNAcentral's name for it is "partial 16S ribosomal RNA". It matches the Rfam family "Bacterial small subunit ribosomal RNA", at positions 29 to 507 of the family's 1533-position model. The record is from RNAcentral.
AGUGAACGCUGGCGGUAGGCCUAACACAUGCAAGUCGAACGGCAGCACAGUAAGAGCUUGCUCUUACGGGUGGCGAGUGGCGGACGGGUGAGGAAUACAUCGGAAUCUACUUUUUCGUGGGGGAUAACGUAGGGAAACUUACGCUAAUACCGCAUACGACCUACGGGUGAAAGUAGGGGAUCUUCGGACCUUGCGCGAUUGAAUGAGCCGAUGUCGGAUUAGCUAGUUGGCGGGGUAAAGGCCCACCAAGGCGACGAUCCGUAGCUGGUCUGAGAGGAUGAUCAGCCACACUGGAACUGAGACACGGUCCAGACUCCUACGGGAGGCAGCAGUGGGGAAUAUUGGACAAUGGGCGCAAGCCUGAUCCAGCCAUACCGCGUGAGUGAAGAAGGCCUUCGGGUUGUAAAGCCCUUUUGUUGGGAAAGAAAAGCAGCAGGUUAAUACCCCGCUGUUCUGACGGUACCCAAAGAAUAAGCACCGGCUAACUUCGUG